This 396-nucleotide ribosomal RNA is filed under the name uncultured bacterium. Its description in RNAcentral is "bacterial SSU rRNA". It matches the Rfam family "Bacterial small subunit ribosomal RNA", at positions 29 to 426 of the family's 1533-position model. The record is from RNAcentral.
AUUGAACGCUGGCGGCGUGCCUAACACAUGCAAGUCGAGCGGCAGCGCGGGAGCAAUCCUGGCGGCGAGCGGCGGACGGGUGAGUAACGCUUGGGAAUCUGCCUAUUAGUGGGGGACAACCCGGGGAAACUCGGGCUAAUACCGCAUACGCACUACGGUGGAAAGCCGGGGACCGCAAGGCCUGGCGCUAACAGAUGAGCCCAAGUCGGAUUAGCUAGUUGGUAGGGUAACGGCCUACCAAGGCGACGAUCCGUAACUGGUCUGAGAGGACGACCAGUCACACCGGAACUGAGACACGGUCCGGACUCCUACGGGAGGCAGCAGUGGGGAAUAUUGGACAAUGGGGGAAACCCUGAUCCAGCGACGCCGCGUGGGUGAAGAAGGCCUGCGGGUUGU